RNAcentral lists this ribosomal RNA (236 nucleotides) under uncultured bacterium. RNAcentral's name for it is "partial 16S ribosomal RNA". It matches the Rfam family "Bacterial small subunit ribosomal RNA", at positions 118 to 354 of the family's 1533-position model. The record is from RNAcentral.
UGAGCAAUCUGCCCUUCUCUUCGGAAUAAGCGUGGGAAACCGCGUCUAAUGCCGAAUACGACCUCCUUUCGCAUGAUCGAAGGUGGAAAGCUCCGGCGGAGAAGGAUGAGCUCGCGGCCUAUCAGCUAGUUGGUGUGGGUAACGGCCCACCAAGGCGACGACGGGUAGCCGGCCUGAGAGGGUGACCGGCCACACUGGGACUGAGACACGGCCCAGACUCCUACGGGAGCAGCAGG